GGAAAUCCAUUUGUUAAGGAAAAAGACACGUGACACUUUUUUAAGAAAAAGAUGAAUACUCUCAUUGGGCUCACUAAUAAAUUGGCUAAAAAACAGAAAAAGAGAUGAGGGGGAAUCUUCUUCCCUAAAAAUGGCCCUCACCCCAUUUCUUCCUCCGUCCACACCGUCAACAUCACCUUCUUCGUCUGUUUCCACCCUUUCAACCACAAACCACCGCGGUAAACACCUUUGAAACAUCACCCACAUAAUAGUCACUACCAUGACAAAACCUUCAUUUUAUGAACUGCUUCCAUCAAGCCUUGGUUCCACCAUAACGUACAACUCGUGUACCACCCCCUUUUAACAUGUUUUAACAACACAACCAUCUCCUCUCUAAUUAAUCACCUCAAAUCUCUUACAAACCUUCCAUACCAACUGUUCAUAUUUUCCUAGCACUCACACAAAAAUGAAAAUGAACUUCCAAUCAAAACCACAACACCGAACAUCUUAUACAAAUCGCCACCACCACUAAACUGUUUAAAUAAACCGUCAACACCGUCGCAUCAGCCAAGUAACACACACACCACCUUAUAGUAACAUCUCGUAGCCACUUCCGCCCGUAAAAAAUUUGUUCAACAACAUCCCAACAACUCAAAGUUUUAACUAUUCUGAUUCAGUAGCAACUCGCACUUCCGGUAACGCUUCGGUUCAACUUUGCAUAUUAUAUUCUUCUUGUACAUAUUGUUGUUACAUUUUCAUAAUGGUAUUUAGAGUGGAAGAAUUUUUGUCAUUCAUGUUGUCUUUUAAAUGUUUGAAUUUCUUUAGCAGUAGUGGCAAUUCGGUGAAGUUAAAGAAUAGCGGCAGUUUGGAAAUUUGGUGAUGAUGAACAACAAUAUUUUCUUACUGAGGGUUUACAUUUUUUCAGGAUGAAUAGUUGUUUUCUUUUAAGACAUGUUUUCUUAGAACAGACAUUUGUAUUUUGCAAAUAACUUUUAUACUUUAAUAGUCAUCUAUGUUAAUAGUCAUAUAGGAUAGCAUUUGUAAUAUUCAUUGUUUUUCAAACACAUGAUAUUUGCAAUAUUGGUAGUUUGGAAUGAGUUAAAUUUGCUUUGCAUUGAUAGGUUUCAAUACUGUAACUUUAUAAUUUUAACUUAUAUCUUGUUACUUUAUUUGACUUAUUAAAAAAGAGGAAAAUGAUUUUGAUGUUUUGGGCUUAAUUUUGACCUUUGAUUCAAGCCUAUCUAGCUCUUGUUAUUAACACCCAUUUUAGAUUUUAUAUGUUUUAUAGGUUGCGUUAAGUUGCACUUUUUUAAUUUUUGAUUACGAUGAAUGAGAUACUUUUGGUGAUAUUUCUCUAAUGGUAAUAGUUUAUGUUGUUGCCGUUUAAUUUUUCAUUGUAUUUUUAAAUCGGAUAUUUAUCCACGGAUUUGGCAAUUUUAUGCCGAUAUGUCGCCAAAUUUCAAUAAAUUGAGAGAACAUCUUCACCGCAUUGUGAUCUCACGAAUGAUAUAAAUCAUGUUGUCAUUUCGUACAAACCGGUUUUUG
RNAcentral lists this long non-coding RNA (1524 nucleotides) under Lathyrus oleraceus (garden pea). RNAcentral's name for it is "Pisum sativum (pea) long non-coding RNA (PSAT_LNC025268)". The record is from RNAcentral. Lineage: Eukaryota; Viridiplantae; Streptophyta; Magnoliopsida; Fabales; Fabaceae.